Unclassified non-coding RNA from Callithrix jacchus (white-tufted-ear marmoset), 148 nucleotides. It matches the Rfam family "Metazoan signal recognition particle RNA". From Rfam's summary of the family: The signal recognition particle (SRP) is a universally conserved ribonucleoprotein. It is involved in the co-translational targeting of proteins to membranes. The record is from Ensembl. Lineage: Eukaryota; Metazoa; Chordata; Mammalia; Primates; Cebidae.
GCUGGGCACGGUGGCGCAUGCCUGUAAUCCCAGCUACUCAGGAGGCUGAGGCAGGAGAAUUGCCUGAACCCAGGAGGCGGAGGUUGCAGUGAGCUGAGAUCGAGCCACUGCACUCCACCUGGGUAACAAGAGCAAAACUCUGUCUCAA